GAUGAACGCUAGCUACAGGCUUAACACAUGCAAGUCGAGGGGAAACGAUAUUGGAAGCUUGCUUCCGAUAGGCGUCGACCGGCGCACGGGUGAGUAACGCGUAUCCAACCUGCCCACCACUUGGGGAUAACCUUGCGAAAGUAAGACUAAUACCCAACGAUAUCUCUAGAAGACAUCUGAAGGAGAUUAAAGAUUUAUCGGUGAUGGAUGGGGAUGCGUCUGAUUAGCUUGUUGGCGGGGUAACGGCCCACCAAGGCGACGAUCAGUAGGGGUUCUGAGAGGAAGGUCACCCACAUUGGAACUGAGACACGGUCCAAACUCCUACGGGAGGCAGCAGUGAGGAAUAUUGGUCAAUGGACGAGAGUCUGAACCAGCCAAGUAGCGUGCAGGAUGACGGCCCUAUGGGUUGUAAACUGCUUUUAUAAGGGAAUAAAGUGAGCCUCGUGAGGCUUUUUGCAUGUACCUUAUGAAUAAGGACCGGCUAAUUCCGUGCCAGCCGCCGCGGUAA
Molecule: ribosomal RNA, 508 nt
Filed under: uncultured bacterium
Lineage: Bacteria
Description: partial 16S ribosomal RNA
Rfam family: Bacterial small subunit ribosomal RNA
Source: RNAcentral